Molecule: transfer RNA, 72 nt
Filed under: Tolypeutes matacus
Lineage: Eukaryota; Metazoa; Chordata; Mammalia; Cingulata; Chlamyphoridae
Description: tRNA-Lys
Source: RNAcentral
CCUUGAGAUGCUAAAAUAGCAUUAACCUUUUAAGUUAAAGACUGAGAGUAUUAUAAACCUCUCCUCAAUGAA